AUGGGAACGCCGACACCCGCUGAGAUCCAGGAACCUUCUGAAGCUGUCUUUGUCUGUCACCCUCGCAGUCUGUGGCUUUUGCACACAGAGUGGGAAGUGGUUCAGAAAGAGGGGUGCAUUCCUGUGCGAGCGGACCGAGGGUCAAGUGCGUGCAGCAGCCCGUUCUCAGAGGGCACAGAAGUCGCCGAUGGGGCCCCGGCCCUAGGAUCCGGAUGUGGUCCAGAGGGGCUGAGCCGAGCUUCUACUUUACAUGAAGGAGUUGAGACGCGAGAGGGCAAAGGGGCACAGCCGUGCAACCUGUGCCACCAAGAGGGCCAUGGACAGAAGCCAGAGGUGAAGGAACAGAUGUCAUGUCCCCGAGGGCCAGAGUGGCCAGCUCCAAGCACACCGGAAGAGACUCGGGAGCAGAGCAUGCGCAGGUCCAGAAGUCCAAGGCGAGGCCUGGGUGAGACAACAGCUCAAGUUAACUGCACUCCAACUUCCCGCUGAAAUCCCAGUGCAGUCCUAUAACAGGAAAGACUGCUACUUCCAUACUGGAAGCUAAAAUCAGGACUCCAGUUCAUGGCGGGACCAACAGGCUCUUCAACUAAAGAAGCCAAAAGAUGACAGGUAAGUGAAGACCUGAAGGAAAGGAAACCUUUGUACACUGUGGGUUGAUUCAGACAUAGUUGAAAACAAUAGGAGUCUCUUUAAAACUAAGCAUAAAACUACCGUAUGAUCCAGCAAAACACUGUUUUUUCUCUGUCACACAUUGCCAUGGUUCUCCCUCCUCAAGCCCAAAAGCAGUGAAUAAGCCUGAAACCUCUGGGACCAUGAGCCAAAGUAAAAACUUCCCUCUUUGUAAACUCAUUGACUUGGGUAUUAUUUCUUACAGUAACAGAAAGCUGUCCAACACAUCCACUUAUGGAUACAUAGAUCUGAACAAGGAGUUCAGUGUAGGGAAGAGAUACCUGCUCUUCCUGUUAAUUGCAUCCUGACUCACAGCAGCCAAAAUAGGAAAUCAGCCUGUGUCCAUCAAAGAAUGAAUGAAGAUACCAUGAAAGCCAGGUAUUGUGGCACAUGCCUCCAGGAAUACUCUGGUAGGCUGAGGCAGGAGGAUUGAAGGUUUUAAUCCAGACUGGGCAAUUUAGUGACUUUGUAAGACCCUGUCUCAAAAUUUUAAAAUGUUUAAAAAGAGCUGAGGAUGUAGCUCAGUGCAGAGACGCGUGUUUAAUACCCAGUAGUGCAGAAAAACAUACAUACAAUGGGAUGUUAUUUAGCCCCAAGAAGGAAAAGGUGGGAUUUACAACAAUGUAGAUGAGCCUAGAGGACACUGGUAAAGUAGAUAAAGUACACCAAAGCCGGGCGUGGUGGCACACGCCUAUAAUCCCAGCACUUGGGAGGCUGAGUCAGGAGGAUCACCGAGUUGGAGAGCAUCCUGAGCUACAUAGUGACUUCCAGGUCAGUCACAACUACAUAGUAGGACCCUGUCUCAAAAACCAAAGAAUAAAAUAAAGUACAGAAAUGCAAAUGCAGCUCACUUCUGAGGGGAAUCCAAAUAAGUAGAACUCUGAAGCAGAGAGCAGAACAGUGGCUGCCAGGGCCCGGGGAGGAGAAUGGGGAUGUGUCCGUCAAGGGUACAGGGUUUCUGCUAUAAUAUUUGCAGGUUCUGGGGCUCUGACAUAGAGCACGUUGGUGAUAGAUGUGCUGUUCACUUGCGUGUGGUAAUCACAUCUCCUAAACCUGUGGCUGAAUCGUCACAUUGUAUACCUUGAAGAUACUCCAUCUUUGUCUGUCAAAUUAAUGUCUACAAAAGCUAUACACAGUUUAUAAAUCAGAAGGUAAAAUUUCUGGGCUUGGUGGCAUGCCACUAUAAUUCUAGAGCUUGGGAGGCUGAGGCAGGAGGAUCCCUGUGAGUUUGAGGUCAGCCUGGACUACAUAGCACCCUGGAUCCCUGUGGGAAGGGCAGGCUCCCUGCUGGGAGCCCACAGGGCUCUGGGAGUCUGGAGCCAAGGACCUUGUUCUUUUGAUCAUCCCUCCUGUCUCCCCAGGUUUGGGGACACACUGACCAUGGUUCCAGGCUGUGGGUCCCAGGCUUCUGAAGGCAGAGAUCUGGUGGAAGACUGGACUGCGAGGCUCACGGACAUUCUGGGGUGUGAUUGAGAAUGAAGCACCCCACCCUGGAGAAUACCCAGAGUUCCCUGAGGUUCUUAGGAGCCCAGAGUCUGCAAGUGGUGCAGUUAGGGGUGCACAUGCUGUAAAAGGGGUUGAGAGUGUGUACGAACUGCUGUGGCCACAGGGAGCUAUAGCAGGGUCUGGGGUUGGGGGGGUGGUCUCCAAUGGAGCUGGGAGGAGAUUUGGGGAAACACUGGCCAGCAAUGACAUCCCUGAGGACCAGCCUGUGGAGGCGGCAGAGCCAGGCUGCCCAGAGGGACAUCUGGCUCCAAGCCUGUGACCUGGCCUGAGCGCACCGCCUCUGUUUACCUCUCGGUGCGCAGAGCCUCUUUGCAGUUAGCCUUUCCCGCCUGUUCUUGGCAGAGGUGUCCUUCACUGUGAGCAAUUUCUCCCCAACAUGUGCAAGUCCUUAGUAAGUGAUCAGUUAGUCAUUUGUACAAAGAAAUGUAGCAUAGCUGGCCAUGGUGGCCCAGGUCUGUAAUUCCAGCACUCGUGAGGCUGAGGCAGGAGGAUCACCAUGAAUUCAAGGCCAGCCUGGGCUGCACAGUGAGUUCAAGGCCAGAAUGAACACAUAGCAAGACCCUGUCUCAAACAAACAAAAAACAUUGAUAGAAGAAACAUCACAAAUAUAAAAAAGAGAAGGGUUACAAAGCCAGACAAAUAUGUCAUAAGAAAACUGUAGAUCUUCAGGCAAAACCUCUUAGAUCACUCAUCUAAAAUAAAUUGGUGAGGGCUGGGGAUUUAGUUCAGUGGUUCCACCGUCUGCCUCACAAGCGCAAGGACCCGAGUUGGAUCCCUGGGACCAAUAAAAUAAAAUAAAAUAAAUUGGCAGGGCAGUUCCGUUAUCUUGCUGUAGGCGGGCCAUCUUCUUCCCCAUACACCAAGACCAAGAUGGGAUUUCCCAGAGAGUCACACAAUCCACAGAUCUCCACGGCCAGAAACACACGAAUAUUUCCGGCUCGGGAUUGUAGCACACCUCUCUCUCUCGAGGACCUGCACUCUGGUUCUCUGAGUGUGUAAAUCCCUUUAUGCUUCUUGAGAGAGAGAGAGAGAGAGAGAGAGAGAGAGAGAGAGAGAGAGAGAGAGAGAAAAUGGUAGACCAGUAUCCCUUGUUCUUGCAAAAGAACAUGACCUUAACAAAAUACUAGCAAGUUGAACCCAGGAAAAUACAAAAAGGACUGUAGAACACGACCGAGUAGGAUUUACCCCAGGAAUAACACCCACGAUCAACUACUGCAAUGACCACCUGAGAGGACCAAAGCCACAUGAUAUCUCUGGACAAACGGCAUCACAAAUAGAAUCUGACAAAACUUAAUGCCCAAAGUACGGAGAGAAGAAAACUUCCUCAAUGUGUUAAAGGACAUCUGCAGGCUUCACGACUAAGUCACACUGCACUGGGAAGGACUGGGUAGGCCCUCCUGAGAUCAGUCAGAAGAUAGGGACGGAUACCCACUCUCACCACUGCUCACAAUUGUACUAGGGCUUUUAGCCAGGGAGAUUAGUCAAGGGAAAAAAAUUCAAG
Molecule: long non-coding RNA, 3676 nt
Filed under: Fukomys damarensis (Damara mole-rat)
Lineage: Eukaryota; Metazoa; Chordata; Mammalia; Rodentia; Bathyergidae
Description: lncRNA (ENSFDAG00000024772.1)
Source: RNAcentral